This is a long non-coding RNA of Diabrotica virgifera virgifera (western corn rootworm), 1033 nucleotides long. RefSeq lists it as uncharacterized. The transcript is spliced from 2 exons. The record is from RefSeq and is a predicted model, not a curated record. NCBI's taxonomy places the organism in Eukaryota, Metazoa, Arthropoda, Insecta, Coleoptera, Chrysomelidae.
UUUUUUUUGGCACAUUCGGAAUAGGAAACAUACAACACAAAAAUUCCUACCUCACACUAUUAACUGCUAAAAUCAACUCAAAUCAACUUAAUCUUUCAUUAAAAAAAGAAGAAUUAUUAGAAAUAGUGGGAGAGGAAGAGCUAAAGUUCUUAUGGAAAUCCAUUGUUGCCACAUCUUCAAAUAUGAGAAGAGACGUCUAUCAAUUACUGUCAAUUGUCAUUGUCUGAUGAUCUUUAAUCUUUGUUAAUGUUUGGUUAUGUUGUUGACAACUUUUGAUAGGAUAAAGAUAUUUUAAACACAUUUUAAAAGAAAAAGAACCUUAGUACCUAGUUAGUAGAAAGGAAAGCAAUUUUAGAUUCCAACCGUAUUAUUACUUGUGAAAUAUUAUCAUCUAGUGGGAAAACCGCAGUGAUUGUGCCUUCAAACGGGCAAUUUGAAAGGACAACCCCACCAAAAACCAUUAUAAUUGUAAAUUGAAAUGAUUGAUAUUAAAAAUGUUUGUACCUAUGUAAUUGUACAUGUAAAGCUGGAAAUUCAGGCAUACCAUGGAAAAUUUGAAAAAAUUAAGCACCACAGACAUCAAACAACAGUGGGGAUAAUUUAAAAAACAAUAAUACAACAUAGUCAACGAUAAAGUCCUACCAGUCUGCUGAUAAAUGGGCUACUGAUAUUGUACUAAAUUAUGAUUUAGCUCUAUUUUACUCAAAUAAUGUUGAAGUAAGCUACAGUAACUCUGUUGAAAUAUCUUUAGCUAUGCUAAACCAAACUGGAGAAGCAUGAAAAAAGCUGACGUGACUGCAAGUAACUGGGAUAAUUUAUUGCCAUUUAUUUACUUAUGAUAAAAAUAAAAGCCCAAGUUGGCCACUUAAAGUCAACCAAUUGUAUAAUUCCAAUUUUAAAGAAAAUACUGUACCCUUCCGUGGGAAAAAAUUAUGAAUCAGUUGCUUUAAAUAUGUAUGAAAAAAUAACUAAGUAUGUAUGUAUGUAUUAUCAGUUUUAUUCCAAUUAUAUAAGUAAAAAACUUGUUUUAAAA